This 5592-nucleotide long non-coding RNA is filed under the name Heterocephalus glaber (naked mole-rat). Its description in RNAcentral is "lncRNA (ENSHGLG00000050397.1)". The stretch from base 3391 to 3465 matches the Rfam family "mir-101 microRNA precursor family". The record is from RNAcentral. Lineage: Eukaryota; Metazoa; Chordata; Mammalia; Rodentia; Bathyergidae.
CACAGAAAGAUGGCGCCGGCCACGCUGCGCGGCGCUGCUGCGUCACAGCGAUCCUCCGCGGACCGCGGGGAGAACAAAGGCGGGGCGGCCGCCCGGCGCAGCCGAGAACAGCAAGAGCUGAAAAUAGAACCACCUUGGGCUCCGGAGCAGGAAGCUGCCCAGGAGCGGUACUGAGGACUGACGCCGAGGGACGCUGGCGCCCCGCGGGUGGCCAUGGCGACGGGCCCCCUUCUCUAGGCUGGGGGCAGACUCUGAGGUUUUGCUGUAUAGCCCAGGCUGGCCUUGAACUUACAGCGGAUCCUCCUGCCUCAGCCUCCCGAGUGCUGGGAUCCCAGGCGUGCCCAGUGUGGCCUUGCAGUCCCUUGCCUCGGGCCUCUGGGCAUCUGUUGGACAGCUCCAGUCCCAGCGCUGCCCUUUCUCCUGAGUUGGCUUCAGAAGAGGCAGCCCCUGAAGCACUCCCUUCAGAGAGGUCAGGACCGAAGGGUCUUGCUGUGUAGCUGUGGCUGGACUUGAACCAAGAGCAAUCCUCCUGCCUCAGCCUCCCGAGUGCUGGGAUGACAGGCGCCACCAUGCCCAGCUUAGAAACCAGCAUUUUAAAAGACCAGGUGCUGCAGUCGGAUGGGCCGGGGAUUUAGCUCAGUGGUUCCGGCACCUGCCUCACAAGCGCAAGGUCCCGAGUUCAAUCCCUGGUACCAAAAAAAAUACCAGGUGCUGCAGUCGGAGGGACCGUGCAGAUCAGCCAGACACAGCGCUUUCAGGUGCUUAGCCGGAGGCGAACAUGUUGAAUCUAACACGUAUAUUUUGGACCAGUUAUUGAAGGGUCCACUGCCGACAUGAACUCAGAAUAAAGCUAACUGUGCAGUGGCUGGGGAGGGGCACACGAAAACGAGUGUGCUCGGUGCAUGAAGUGAAGCGUGCGUGCGGGUGUCCGGCCCAGUGAAGGUUGCACCUCAGGGUCUUUGUGGGCUGGGCACCCAGUCCCUGUCUCUGUCCCUGUCCAGGAACUACGGCUCCCACUUUUGGCUGGGUGCCCAGGGCGGGGCCCAGCUUUUCCUUGCUGUAUUUUUUAAACCAUUUCAGGAGAAGAAAAAAGCAAAUCUAUAACCCUGGCUUCAAGUUUCCUGGAGGGCUGUGGCACAAGGUAGCUUUUCUUUUUUAACUCUGAUUUCUGCCCAUCCGAGGUUGCAGUCCUUCCUCCAGGGAGCUGGUUCAAGACAUCUCACACCUCCGCCUUCGCCCCUUCUCCUCCCUGUCUCUCCAUUGAGUCUUCAGAGCCUCUGGUGUGAAGCAGAGAUGCAGCAGGAGGCAGGCGCACAUGCUGCGCACUGCACAAGCAGAAGUGUCGCUCCCUGGCACUCUGACGGUGUCCUCAAGGAGUAGGCUGUGAGUUUCAGACUAGGAAAAGCUAUCCCAGAGAGCAGCGAGCUGAAAUCAGACUGCAGCUCAGCUCAGCAGCACUUCAGAUGCGUGGCCUUCAGCACCCCAUUCCUCAGCUCCCAGUGUUGGAUCCCCACUGCUGGCUCUGCAGGCUGUUGCCGUGUCUCCGUCCUCCAGAAGUACCUGCCUCCGAGGUGGGUCCUGUGCUCACGCAUGGGGCGAGGUCACGGUGUUUGCCACUUGACCACAGCCUGGACAUCAGCUCCCUCUCUGGAAGAACCUAGUUCCCACCCCGGUCCGCUUUGUCCCUCUCAGAUGCCAUGUACUUCCUCACUGUACAAGUCCAUACAGUCCCUUGUUCUUUAGUUAAAACAGUUUAACCUUUGUUUGGGGAUUUUUUUUCAGACAGGAUUUUGUUAUGUUUCCCAGGCUGGCCUUGAACUCAUGGCAAUCCUCCUGCCUCAGCCUCCUGAGUGCCAGGUUACAACAGUUUAAUUCUUACAAGAACAGUAUGUAUUUGAAAAAUGUUUCAAGUAGAUUUUACUUUUAAAAAAAAUUCCAAGGAGAAACAAAAUUGCAUUUUAAAGCAUUUAUUAGUUAUAAAAUAAUCAUUUAAAUUUUUUUUUCCUCGAGACUGCUUUCAAGUUGCACUGAGAGAAUGCUAAUGUAAAUAUUCACAAGAUAGUUGUUUGCUUUUUAUUAUUACAAAUGCUUAGUCUUUUUUUCCUUCCAAUUUAGAUAGAAAAAGUGAAAGAGAAAAACAUUGCCUAAAGGAAAUAGCCUUUACAAUGGACCUUUGACUUACGAACUCAGUCCGUUCCAGAGGGAUGGUUGUAACUCAGGUUGGUCAGUGGAGGCUCGGGCUCCCCUACACAGCCUUCACAGUCUCUCUCCUGCACACAGGCAGAUCUCAGUGUCCUCAGAGAGACACUGGCCGGGGAUUUCCCAGUGAGCCCCAUUCAGGAGAGGAUGCUGUCCUGUUCCUUCCAGACUCUUUAAGGGUUAAGUCUGCAUGUGAGACCAUCUGGAAGCACAGGUGGCCAGCAUUCAGGUCAUAACUCAAGACUUUGGUUGUAAGUUAAAACUAAAAUCCUGGUCAAGACCCAAGUUGUUCGUAUAUCAGGCCGGUUGUAACUCAAGGGCCCACUGUUGCACUAUUUACUGAGUGUCUGGCAGUUGCAUGGCUUCGCCGUGGGUCACCCCGAUGUCCUGUGGGCCCCAGGAGAAGCUCAGGACCAAGGCCUGGCGGGCACAGCACCAUCCCUGCUGCCUUUCCUUCGGCAGCUGGGGACGCCUCUGCCCUCAGUCGCUGUUCCGGUUCUGUGUGUAGGAGGAGCCAGCUGCUCUCUGGGAGCCUCUGGUCUGCCUGAAAGGCGCUGCCCCAUCAGUCUGGAGCAGAAAUCCAAGAACAAGCGCACCUGCCUGUCGGAUCUGCUCAGACAAAACAGCGGAGACCUCAAAACACAGCGGAAACGGCGAGUCACCGCCUCCAGAGGAUGCUCUGCCACUGAUUUCAGCCCAGACGCCCUGUGCCCCUCAGGAGCUGGAGUCCCUGAGUCAGCCAGAUGGCAGGGCUCGACUCAGGAAGUCAUCUGGGAGCCGCAGGUUCUGAUGCUGAGCCCAGGGAUAGAGCUGGGUUCGUCUCCACUUCUGAACAUCUGGGCGGGUUGGGGUGCGGGGGAUCAGAGUCCGGAGCUUCCUCUCAGGACAGCCUCACCUCGUGGCGGUUCCUCCCCACACACACGGGGAGAUCCCAGAACAGGCCUGGUGGGCACACUUGUCAUCCUAGCGCUGGGGAGGCUGAGGAAGGAGGAUUACUGCGAGUUCGAGGCCAGCCUGGGCUACAUAAUAAGACCCUGUGUCAAAAAACAAACAACACACAAAUACAGAUGAAUCGAGUGUCCGCCUCUCAGCCCCACGUGCUCACCUGGGCCUUUUCCUCUUUCAGCUGCUGCUCUCCGAGGGACCUCAGAGCCCGGCCCACACCUCGUGGGACCCACAGAGCCUCCUGGCUGCCCUGGCUCAGUUAUCACAGUGCUGAUGCUGUCCACUCUAAAGGUACAGUACUGUGAUAACUGAAGGAUGGCAGCCACCUUGCUGCCCGAGGUGCCCGGAACCACAGAGGAGGAGGAGGAAGAAGGGGCCCAGUGAUGGCCCCGAAACCCAUGCGCAGCCCCUGGCUGGAGAGAAGGUUAUUCUGGCUCUUCGCUGUGCUUUGUUCAUUUUUGGGUUUUUUGAGUUAGGUCGCCAUGCCGUUCAAACUGGCCUUGAAGUCACUGGAGCCCAGGCUGGUCCUGGACUCGAGGUGAACCUCCUGCCUCAGCCUCCUGCGUGCUAGGGUUGCCCCAGCCCUGCUCUCCUUGUCUCGUUUUAUAACAUGGGCAGAAAACUCGAGGUGGUUUGUUGGCAAACACGGAAGGGCCAGGAACCUUGAGUCUUCAGGGGUCAUCGCUGGGGAUGUACCGGGUAUGAGUCAGGGGGCCGGGCAUGGCAGUGCCCGCCUGUAAUCCCAGACUCGGGAGGCUGAGGCAGGAGGACUUCUGGGAGUUCAAGGCCAGUGUCCAGUUGCCGUGUCUCUGGGGAUUGGACAGCGACCUGUCUGUCCUGUGUCCGGAGAGAUUUACAUCACAUCUUCUCCCAAAAGUGUGUACUGUUACUGCUGCUGUUGUCACCUUUCAUAUGAAAAUAAAGUGUGAAGUUAUUUCAUUUUGUCACAUAAAGAAGGACCACUCUGGGAGCUGGGUGUGGGGGCCACACCGGUAAUACUCGGGAGGCCGAGCGAGGCAGCAGGAUCCCUGCAGGUUCAAGGCCAGCCUGGGCUCCAGAGUGAGACCCCCAUCUCAAAAAAUUAAUAACCAAGCAAGUACAAAGCAACCCCCACACCGGGUUUUAUGCUUCCCAGCCUCUGCAUCCUCUCCAGAGUCUGCAGGGCUGCAGGGCCCAGGUUCAGGUGGCUGGGGCGGGACCUCACUUCCCUGCAGCUCCAUCUGCGUGACUCUUGCCCCAAGGAAGUGAAUGUAGGGCCUCACAGACAUUGACACACUUCUGCUGAUGCCGCCCAGGUGUACAUGUGAGGAUGGGUAGGGGAGCAAGAUGUGACACGUGUAGUGGGUGGAGUAUUACUCAGCCCUGAAAAGGCAGAGUUCCUCACUGCAGUGUGGUGAGUCUUACAGAUGCUGUGUCGGUAAAAGAAGCUAGCAUGACAAGAUGGGUUCCGUGUGUCCCCACAUGCACUUCCAGGGCGCCCUCACCCAGUGAGGAUGGCCAUGGGCACUGGAGUGGGGGGUAGGGGGACAGUGAGGGGUCAGGGAUACAUGAAUCCAGGGUUUUGUUUGGGGAAGAUGAAUUCUGGAGGUGGGCAGCGAUGGUUUCCCAGCAUCAUAAAUGGGCUCAGGGCUUCAGAACACAACUCCUAAAAUGGCAAAUCUUACGCUGUUUCACUGCAAUAAGAAAACAAGAAACCAAAGGGCAACAGCACUGCAGCUGCUGCUCCUGGGCAGUGUCGGGGCAGAGAGGACACUGCCUCCCUGGAGGAUGAAAACAUGGAUGCUGAGCUGUUCACGGGGCUCACGCGCUGCAGGCCUCCGAGGUGGUGUAAACGGAGCAGAGGCUGGAGCAGAACCUGGCUGCCCUGGCGUCCCCUGCUGGCUCUGGACCCCAGCAGUGACACUGGCGAUGCCCUGGCCGCAGUCUCGGAGCUGAGGGAGAGUGCGGUUUUCUGGAUGGAUUCUUCUGUCCUGACCGAAGCCAUGACCCGGGACCACAGGUCGGUCCCUCCCGCAGUAGAGACCCGCGCUGGCACAGAUAACAGCAUUUGUAUUUUGGGGGUUUUUUGAGACUGUAUCACUGUGUAGACCAGGCAGGCUGGCCUUCAACUCACCAUGAUCCUCCUGCCUCAGCCUCCCAAGUGCUGGCGUUUCCAGUGUGCACCACCAAACCAGGCUGGCGGAUUGUGUCUUGUCUGGUGCGUGCAGGCUGUGAUUUUCUGUGGGAUUAUGAGAUGUGUGGUGCUGAAAAGAGAGAAGGAACCAGACCUGGUUUUUUGACUGAUCCCAACUAAGUGGGAGGCUGAGACAGGAGAAUCCCAGGAGCCCAGGAGUUCAGGGCCAGCCUGGGAAACAGACUGACUUUAAAAGUUCACAGUGAUUCCCGUCGGUAUUCAUGCUCAUUUCUGGCUUCUGUCCUUGAAAAUGAAAUUACAGAAUUAGUUCGGCG